UACGGGGAGCAGCAGGCGCGAAAACUCUCCAAUGUGCGAAAGCGUGAGAGGGGGAUUCCUAGUGCUUACGGUUUAUCUGUAGGCUUUUGCCAUGUGUAAAUAGCAUGGCGAAUAAGUGGUGGGUAAGACUGGUGCCAGCAGCGCGGUAA
Molecule: ribosomal RNA, 149 nt
Filed under: uncultured archaeon
Lineage: Archaea
Description: partial 16S ribosomal RNA
Rfam family: Archaeal small subunit ribosomal RNA
Source: RNAcentral